Molecule: ribosomal RNA, 494 nt
Filed under: uncultured bacterium
Lineage: Bacteria
Description: bacterial SSU rRNA
Rfam family: Bacterial small subunit ribosomal RNA
Source: RNAcentral
ACUCAAAGGAAUAGACGGGGGCCCGCACAAGCAGUGGAUUAUGUGGUUUAAUUCGAAGCAACGCGAAGAACCUUACCAGGGCUUGACAUCCAGCUGAGGCGGCAGAGACGCCGCCGUGCCCCUCGGGGAAAGCUGAGACAGGUGGUGCAUGGUUGUCGUCAGCUCGUGUCGUGAGAUGUUGGGUUAAGUCCCGCAACGAGCGCAACCCCUAUUGUUAGUUGCUACGCGAGAGCACUCUAGCGAGACUGCCGUUGACAAAACGGAGGAAGGCGGGGACGACGUCAAAUCAUCAUGCCCCUUAUGUCCUGGGCUACACACGUAAUACAAUGGCGCCGAACAGAGGGAAGCGAGGCCGCGAGGCGGAGCAAAUCCCCAAAAGGCGCCCCAGUUCGGAUCGCAGGCUGCAACCCGCCUGCGUGAAGCCGGAAUUGCUAGUAAUCGCGGAUCAGCAAGCCGCGGUGAAUACGUUCCCGGGCCUUGUACACACCGCCCGU